This 472-nucleotide ribosomal RNA is filed under the name uncultured bacterium. Its description in RNAcentral is "bacterial SSU rRNA". It matches the Rfam family "Bacterial small subunit ribosomal RNA", at positions 355 to 825 of the family's 1533-position model. The record is from RNAcentral.
UGGGGAAUUUUGGACAAUGGGCGCAAGCCUGAUCCAGCCAUGCCGCGUGCGGGAAGAAGGCCUUCGGGUUGUAAACCGCUUUUGUCAGGGAAGAAACGCUCUGGGCUAAUACCCUGGGGUAAUGACGGUACCUGAAGAAUAAGCACCGGCUAACUACGUGCCAGCAGCCGCGGUAAUACGUAGGGUGCAAGCGUUAAUCGGAAUUACUGGGCGUAAAGCGUGCGCAGGCGGUUAUGCAAGACAGAUGUGAAAUCCCCGGGCUCAACCUGGGAACUGCAUUUGUGACUGUAUAGCUAGAGUACGGUAGAGGGGGAUGGAAUUCCGCGUGUAGCAGUGAAAUGCGUAGAUAUGCGGAGGAACACCGAUGGCGAAGGCAAUCCCCUGGACCUGUACUGACGCUCAUGCACGAAAGCCAGGGGAGCAAACGGGAUUAGAUACCCUAGUAGUCCCUGAGCGGGCUGGCAAGGCGCAU